CCCCCCCUUUUUAUUUUAUUAAACAACAAGUAUGUGGUUUAGGGAUCGUGCCUGUCUUAGGUAGUCCAAUACUACAUAUGGUCCUUUCCCGUCAAUGGAUUGUCUAACCUCAAAUUUUCAGCCUCCUGGCUUAGGUUGGUACCAUUGUAAUUGGAUCUUUCCAGUCUUUGACUACCGGCCCAAUAUAUUUAGACAUACUUGUGGAUCUUGUCCUGUUUCUAGGGCCAUCAUCGCCUGUUUAAUGACCAUAGUGGGUUCUAUUUGUUGUCUGUGUAAUUUACACAAACACCAUAAACAACCUGCCACAAGCAGAAUGAGGAGAAUACAAAAAUUCCACAAUUCCAAGCCAUUGACAGCUCCAAGAGAGAAACCCUUGGAAAAAUUGUACCACUGAUGAUACCAUUGGCAAAGACACCCUGGUACUAUUAAGUGUUACAAUUUGUUGUAUCAAUAGAUUAGUUAAAUUUUGAAACUUUAUAUUCCAUGUGUCAUUAAGCAUGGCUUCUAGUUGUCUGGAAAGAUCUGCUGCUCGAGAAAUAUUAUCAUAAUGCAUAGAGGUGAUACACAGUCCAGGUAAGUUCUGUAAGCAGCUUAAAGCAGAGGAAUCCAUUAAUAUGUCUAUUUCUUCUUGAAGUAAAUUGACACUUUGGUUGAGCAUCAGAAUUUCUUUUCUAAGAUGAUAAUUAAUAAUGCUUUGUGUUUGUAAAGCUUGCACUAUUGUUGAGUUACAUUAUUUAUUGAUGCAGCAGUUUGUACAGUUUCUGUGAUAGCUAUCGAAGAAGCUGCAGCAGCAGCAGCAGAAACAGCAACAGCUGUGAUGAUGGUAACUGUAAUUCCAAAGUCUCGUUUGGUUUUCAGUAAUACUGGAAAUUCUUCUAUUUUUGUCUUCACUGGCACUGGGAUGAAGGUAGGAAUUCUGGCAAUGAUGGCUAAAGAAAAUNUAUGUCUAUUUCUUCUUGAAGUAAAUCAACACUUUGGUUGAGCAUCAGAAUUUCAUUUCUAAGAUGAUAAUUAAUAAUGUUUUGUGUUUGUAAAGCUUGCACUAUUGUUGAGUUACAUUAUUUAUUGAUGCAGCAGUUUGUACAGUUUCUGUGAUAGCUAUCGUAGAAGCUGCAGCAGCAGCAGUAGAAACAGCAACAGCUGUGAUGAUGGUAACUGUAAUUCCAAAGUCUUGUUUGGUUUUCAGUAAUACUGGAAAUUCUUCUAUUUUUGUCUUAACUGGCACUGGGAUGAAGAUAGGAAUUCUGGCAAUGAUGGCUAAAGAAAAUUGUGUAGCAUUCCAGCAAUUUAGUACAUUAUCCUGAACAGAUAUAAUGAAAUUAUUAGAUAUAAUGAAAAGGAAAUUAUUAGAUAUAACGAAAAGGAAAUUAUUAGAUAUAAUGAAAAGGAAAGGUGAAAGUAAACAAACAGGAGUUUUGUUCACAUUUUAAAACAAUCAUUGUAAAUAUCUGAAUUUAGGUAGAUUAUUUCAUAGACAUCAACAUUUUAUUAGUUUUUUGGAACACCUAGAAAAACUUGUAAGCUUAAAUUUAAAGACAUUCUUUACUUUCAUCUGUUUACACAAUUUAAAUUGAACUGCUUAAAUCAUGUGAAUAAAAGAGAUUUGGGUCCAUUUUUUUAAUUUUUCAUGAGCACUCUUCAUAUAUCUGCCAAUUUUCAUAUCAUGUGUAUGACAUAUGGACAUACAUAUUUACAGACAUACAGCACAUAACACAAGUGUGCACACAUAACACAAUAGUAAAGGCCUUAUAGCUUUUCACAGGUGAAUUCUCCAUUGAAAUUUUUAAAAACUCCGCAGUUGAUCAAAAAUAGAACUGAUCAGAAAAACAUUAACCUAGAUCUGUAGGAUCAAAAUUAUAAGCUCAAACAAUAAAAUAGAACUCCAUGAAGUGGGAGAGGGCAUAAUAAAAUAGAUAUUGAAAAAAGCAUCUUGGCUACCACCUGGGUUUGACUCUUCUUUUGAUAUUUCAUCCUUCUUCCUGUAACUUGCAUAUGGGUUUGAUGGUAUUCUCACCAGUAAGCCUCAAGAUUUUUUUAUAUUUGAAAUAGGCCUCAAUGGUGCUCAUUAUUCAUUAGCCACCAGGUGUGGGAGAACCAUUGUCACAGAAGUAAGGAUAGCUAAACUGGAGUUCUGGAUAUCAGCUGUUAUGGAUAUGAGCCAAAUCAUCGUCUUUUUGGUUUGUAGAAAUCUCUUUAGUUAGUCUCUCUGGAAUCCAAAUAGGCUGCCGUUCUUCCUGUGGAAACACACAUAGAGACCCCUGGCUCCAGACAAUCACUGGGUCAGGACAUUUCCAUUGUCCACUCAGAAUAUCUUGCCAAAGUACCUUGGGCUUAUGUACAUUUUUUGGACACAUGUGCCUUUCUGCAUCACUGAGCCCUGAUAAAUCCAAAUUGAAAAAAAUUAAAGUAAAAAUGUUUAUGUUAAGUUUAUCUUUGGGGGAUAUAUACCCCUUCCCAAAUCCUUCUUUUUGUUUUAGUAAGUACAUUUUAAUAGUUUGUUGAGCUCUUUCAACUAUACCUCGUCCCUGUGGAUUAUACGGAAUUCCUGUUAUAUGAGUAAUGCCAAAUGAUGAGCAAAAUUGCUUAAAAGAAGUAGAAGUAUAGAGAGGGCCAUUAUCUGUUUUUAACUGUUUUGGAAUGCCCACAGUGGUAAAGUUUUGUAAACAAUGAGAUAUAAUAUCUUUAGAUUUUUCUCCACCAUGAAGGGAGCUCAUCAAAUAUCCAGAAGAAGUAUCAAAUUUAACAUGCAAAUCUUUUAAUUUUCCAAAUUAUGGCAAAUGUGUGACAUCCAUUUGCCAUAUAUGAUUAGGUAUCAGUCCUCUCGGAUUGAUUCCAAGAUUAACUUGUGGAAAAAUGUCACACAAUUUUGACAUUGUUUUACUAUUUGUUCCUUAGUUACUUUAAAAUGCUUUUGUAAAGUACUAGCAUUGACAUGGAAGGAUUUAUAAAAAUUUGUUGAUUUAGGAAGAUGGCAGCGAGGGGAGUGCAUUGCCCCCANCCAUUAUCUGUUUUUAACUGUUUUGGAAUGCCCACAGUGGUAAAGUUUUGUAAACAAUGAGAUAUAAUAUCUUUAGAUUUUUCUCCACCAUGAAGGGAGCUCAUCAAAUAUCCAGAAGAAGUAUCAAAUUUAACAUGCAAAUCUUUUAAUUUUCCAAAUUCUGGCAAAUGUGUGACAUCCAUUUGCCAUAUAUGAUUAGGUAUCAGUCCGCUCGGAUUGAUUCCAAGAUUAACUUGUGGAAAAAUGUCACACAAUUUUGACAUUGUUUUACUAUUUGUCUAGCUUGUUCCUUAGUUACUUUAAAAUGCUUUUGUAAAGUACUAGCAUUGACAUGGAAGGAUUUAUGAAAAUUUGUUGAUUUAGGAAGAUGGCGGUGAGGGGAGUGCAUUGCCCCCAUGUGCUGCUUCACUGUGUGGGAGUAUGACAAGUCAGGAUGGCUAAAGGCUAUCUUGUUAGGAAUUUCCAGCAAUAGUGGGGUGCUCCAGAACCUGGAGGAAGGAUUUCCAUCGCACGGGGAUCGGCUACGGGGACUC
RNAcentral lists this long non-coding RNA (3531 nucleotides) under Marmota monax (woodchuck). The record is from RNAcentral. Lineage: Eukaryota; Metazoa; Chordata; Mammalia; Rodentia; Sciuridae.